Molecule: small RNA, 116 nt
Filed under: Arabidopsis thaliana (thale cress)
Lineage: Eukaryota; Viridiplantae; Streptophyta; Magnoliopsida; Brassicales; Brassicaceae
Description: ATSL064390
Source: RNAcentral
UAUAAUUGUAUUUUGAUUGUUAAUUCUAAAAUUUGACUUGUAUAUACCGUCUCGUAUUAAGAUCGAUCCAAACUUGUCCUAUCAUAUAACUCCCUCUCUUAAAAUUAAACAUCAAU